GAAAAGUGAACAGAUUAAAACAAAGCCUCAGUUCAGAACUGAUAUUGAUAUUUAUUCAGUUCUGAAGAGCUUUAUACAGACUCAAAGACAUCACAGAAAUAAACACAAUAAACAAUAAUGUAUAAAGGGCCAUUUAAAGAUAUAUAGAGAGAUAAAUAGAGAUAUACAGAGAAAUGUGGCUGCAGUUCUUUGUUAGUGCUGUGCUUGUUGCUAUGGGGAUUCAGGCAGCUGAUCGGUUACCAGGCAGAAACAGAGGCAGAAUGAAGACAGGAAGGUAAACUGUCAGUAAUAAAGUCAGUGCUGAAUAUAAACAGAUAUAAAAUAAGUUAAAUAGAAUAACUUUGCGUGGUAUCUUUAUAUAUAUAGCAGAUCUGCUGCAGGAGGGCGGCGGCUGCACCAGACUACACUUUCUCUUGGAGACCAAAACCAAACUACCUUCACCACAGAACAGAAACAAUCCAGUGUCUUGCGCAGUCUGAGGAGCAGGAACUGGACUCGGAACAGAGAAGGCCUAGCUGUGAAGGAAAUCACUAACCCUCCAGAAUCCACAGUUUACAUCAGCUCCUACCACACGCAGUACUGCGGCCCUGCCAACUGCCCUGCCAGCAGCCUUCAGACCGGCGCUUCAGGCCAGCCCACACGCUGGCACCAACACAACAUCCUCACAGGUACUUUACAGCACAGAGCUUUUAAUCCAGGCCUGGAUUACUCUGAUCAAAGUCCAGAGUUCUUUACUCUCUGUACUCUCCCCCUGCACACAUAAACCAGAUCACCAAAGCUCAACAGCCCAUAAUAAGCAUUUGUUUAUAUGUAGGUUUCGCUCAUUUACACCCCUCACCCAACUGCAAAUGUAUCUAAUGAACCAAAACCAAAAGAAGACAUAUAAAUCUACACCACCAGUUGCAGUAUACACUCACCUUUAACAGUAAGAAUAAUCUUUAAUACUCUUACUAAUCUGGUUCCUGAGGGGAGCUCUAUAGAUCCUCUUGUAAAAAAAAAAAUAUAUAUAUAUACUUAAAUUAUGCUGAAGUAGGGCUGUAGUUAAGUUGUGUUAUUUUGG
Molecule: long non-coding RNA, 1060 nt
Filed under: Astyanax mexicanus (Mexican tetra)
Lineage: Eukaryota; Metazoa; Chordata; Actinopteri; Characiformes; Acestrorhamphidae
Description: lncRNA (ENSAMXG00005016436.1)
Source: RNAcentral